GAUGAACGCUGGCGGCGUGCCUAAUACAUGCAAGUCGAGCGAACAGACGAGGAGCUUGCUCCUCUGACGUUAGCGGCGGACGGGUGUGUAACACGUGGAUAACCUACCUAUAAGACGGGGAUAACUUCGGGAAACCGGAGCUAAUACCGGAUAAUAUAUUGAACCGCAUGGUUCAAUAGUUAAAUACGGCUUUGCUGUCACUUAUAGAUGGUUCCCGGCCGCAUUUACUAGUUGGUAAGGUAACGGCUUAACAAGGCAACGCAGCGUAGCCGACCUGAGAGGGGGAUCGGCCACAAUGGAACUGAGACACGGCCAAGACUCCUACGGGAGGCAGCAGUAGGGAAUCUUCGGCAAGGGGCGAAAGCCUGACGGAGCACCGCCGCGUGAGUGAUGAAGGUCUUCGGAUCGUAAACCUUUGUUAUUAGGGAAGAACAAAUGUAUAAGUAACUAUGCACGUUUUGACGGUACCUAAUCAGAAAGCCACGGCUAACUACGUG
This 497-nucleotide ribosomal RNA is filed under the name uncultured bacterium. RNAcentral's name for it is "partial 16S ribosomal RNA". It matches the Rfam family "Bacterial small subunit ribosomal RNA", at positions 28 to 507 of the family's 1533-position model. The record is from RNAcentral.